GAGGUGUUCAGAUGACUGUCCAUUGGAUGCUUGAUGUGAUUAUUGAGUGUCAACUUGAUUGAAUUGAAGGAUGAAAAGUAUUGUUUCUGGGUGUGUCUGUGAGGGUGUUGCCAGAGGAGAUAAACACUGGGGUCAGUGGACUGGGAGAGGCGGACCCAUCCUCAAUCUGCGUGGGCACCAUCCAAUGGGCUGCCAGCGCAGCUUAAAAAAUGUAGGUGGAAGAAAGUGGAAGAAGCUGGCUUGCUGAGUCUUCUGGCUUUCAUCUUUCCUCCCACGUGGGAUGCUUCCUGCCCUUGAACAUCAGACUCCAGGUUCUUCAGCUUUUGCACUCUUGGACUUACACCAGUGGCUUGCUGGGGGCUCUUGGGCCUUUGGCCACAGACUGAAGGCUGCACUGUUGGCUUCCCUGCUUUUGAGGUUUUGGGACCUGGACUGAUCCACCACUGGCUUCCUUGCUCCUCUGCCUGCAGACGGCCUAUCGUGGGACUUCGCCUUGUGAUCCUGACGGGAGGCCAAGGGGCUGGGAUGGCAGGUGCCGUGAACAGCGAGCGCCCAGAGUUGGCCAAAAGCACAGCGGAGGUGCAAAUCCAGCUGUGACCUGCAUUGUCUCCACUAACGACAGCGUCCUUAACCCGGACAGUGACCCAGCAAGUGGCAGCCCACGCUCGCCGGCCGGGUCCAAGUUUUAAGUAAAGAAGCCAUUUGUUCCCAGGCUCAUUUUUAUCAAGGCUCGUCUGUCUUUCCAAAUUAGGGCUGAGUCAUUUAUAAAGCAUGUGAGUGUUUGGAUGUUAGCAGCAAACAUUCAUCCAUUUUAGAAUAAAUGAUUAAAAGGCACUCAUUAAAUUCCUCUGUUGACUGAUGCCAAGGCCCCGAGAACGGAUUGGCCUGUUGGCUUCUGGCUGGCCUGACUGCCAUCCCACCUACUGAGAACUCUCGUAGACUCUGGAGAGAAAAUUCCUGCUCGAGGGGACACCCUGAUGGAAGAUAACAGGAAGGAUGGCACUCAGGCCUGUUCCCCCAAUAUUACAGCACAGUUAUCUACCUUCAGAGUGGCCGCACCCAACAGACUCUUGGUGAGUGGGAGGACAACCCCUUCUCCCCUCCAAAGAUCUAGGGACAAUGUGUGCCAUUCCUUCCCAUGGGCAUGGGGAAUGUUUAACUCAAAAGUCAAGGGAAUAAUUCCAUAAUGACUGAAAACUAAGUAUUUCCAGUCCUGAUAAGAAUGGCGCUCUGUGCCCACUCCAGGAAUACAAGAAUUGGCAAGACUCUCCUGUGGCCCCUGCCCUGGAAGGUAGAAGGUAAAAGAUCAUACACAGACAGGUAAACCAACUCCCGAACAGAACUGGGAGCCUCGGACCACAGGCUCUGACCCUUUGCUGGCCAGCAGGUGCAGAGGGAAGGAGCUUCUGCUGUCCUUGCCCCCAGCAAAUGUCCAUCCUCACCACAAGGGAACAAACCAUGCCCAAUGCCUCGUUGGGGGCACUGGCGCCCCUUGAAUGUAUCCUCUCUAGGAUCCUUGGCCCCACCCACCUGUUUGCCAUCUCCAAAGGUCCUUUCUUAAUGUCUUUAAUUUGGAUGGCUCUGACAGCUCCCCACGGCUGGCCUGAGAAAAUCGCACACUCCUCUGCAUGCCAUUUAUCAGGUCACAGCGUGAGUUUCCCGGGCCCUCCUUCCACUAAAAAAACAUUAAAACAUAUAUAUUACAAUGGCAUUGGUAAACAGGAACCUAUUGAUUUAUAUACUGAAAACAUUUUUCCUCAACCUAAAAGUUCAUGUAUUUCGUUUUGAUUUUAAAAGCAAUUAAAACAUUUCGUGAGUCCUGAAAUCACUGUGGGCCCGAGGCACUGAGCCACCAUACCCGAUACUGAAGGGGGUCUAGGUCAGUCCUCUCUGCAGCCGUCCAGCCGCAGGUUCCCCCUGGGAGCUGCCCUUCCAGGCCUCCCUGCCUGUGCUGCUGCUGCUGCUGCUGCUGCUGCUCCUGCUCCUGCUCCUGCUCCUGCUCCUGCACCCUCAAUGCUGCCUCAUCCUUCUCUGCCACGAAACGUCCUACAAAGGUGUUAAGCCCUGGACCUAGUGUGAUGCUCCCAGGCCCUGGAGGCAGCAUCUGUGCAUCUUCUUUGCCCUCUGCCACCACUCUGACCCCCUGCAAGCCCAGACAGACAACGGUGUCUUCCUGACCAGGUGACAGGAUCCUGCAUUCAUCCCACAAACGCCUCCUGGGCACUGCCUGUGGGGAUGCAGGAAGGAUCUAAUAAAUGGCCUGGCCGAUGCUUUGUAUGUUCUGGAGACUCUGAAGUAUUUUGUGUGUGCUGUUUCGGUUCAUCCCACACUGUAAAACCCCGAGGAGGUCCUUCUGAUCGGACAUGAGUCACCACCAGGUACCUCAGUGGGUAAUGACAUCGCUGAGAUGCCCACACAGGCAUUCUAGGUCCAGG
Molecule: long non-coding RNA, 2435 nt
Filed under: Pan troglodytes (chimpanzee)
Lineage: Eukaryota; Metazoa; Chordata; Mammalia; Primates; Hominidae
Description: long non-coding RNA NONPTRT000054
Source: RNAcentral